GAUGAACGCUGGCGGCGUGCCUAAUACAUGCAAGUCGAGCGAACGGACGAGAAGCUUGCUUCUCUGAUGUUAGCGGCGGACGGGUGAGUAACACGUGGAUAACCUACCUAUAAGACUGGGAUAACUUCGGGAAACCGGAGCUGAUACCGGAUAAUAUUUUGAACCGCAUGGUUCAAAAGUGAAAGACGGUCUUGCUGUCACUUAUAGAUGGAUCCGCGCUGCAUUAGCUAGUUGGUAAGGUAACGGCUUACCAAGGCAACGAUGCAUAGCCGACCUGAGAGGGUGAUCGGCCACACUGGAACUGAGACACGGUCCAGACUCCUACGGGAGGCAGCAGUAGGGAAUCUUCCGCAAUGGGCGAAAGCCUGACGGAGCAACGCCGCGUGAGUGAUGAAGGUCUUCGGAUCGUAAAACUCUGUUAUUAGGGAAGAACAUAUGUGUAAGUAACUGUGCACAUCUUGACGGUACCUAAUCAGAAAGCCACGGCUAACUACGUGCCAGCAGCCGCGGUAAUACGUAGGUGGCAAGCGUUAUCCGGAAUUAUUGGGCGUAAAGCGCGCGUAGGCGGUUUUUUAAGUCUGAUGUGAAAGCCCACGGCUCAACCGUGGAGGGUCAUUGGAAACUGGAAAACUUGAGUGCAGAAGAGGAAAGUGGAAUUCCAUGUGUAGCGGUGAAAUGCGCAGAGAUAUGGAGGAACACCAGUGGCGAAGGCGACUUUCUGGUCUGUAACUGACGCUGAUGUGCGAAAGCGUGGGGAUCAAACAGGAUUAGAUACCCUGGUAGUCCACGCCGUAAACGAUGAGUGCUAAGUGUUAGGGGGUUUCCGCCCCUUAGUGCUGCAGCUAACGCAUUAAGCACUCCGCCUGGGGAGUACGACCGCAAGGUUGAAACUCAAAGGAAUUGACGGGGACCCGCACAAGCGGUGGAGCAUGUGGUUUAAUUCGAAGCAACGCGAAGAACCUUACCAAAUCUUGACAUCCUUUGACAACUCUAGAGAUAGAGCUUUCCCCUUCGGGGGACAAAGUGACAGGUGGUGCAUGGUUGUCGUCAGCUCGUGUCGUGAGAUGUUGGGUUAAGUCCCGCAACGAGCGCAACCCUUAAGCUUAGUUGCCAUCAUUAAGUUGGGCACUCUAAGUUGACUGCCGGUGACAAACCGGAGGAAGGUGGGGAUGACGUCAAAUCAUCAUGCCCCUUAUGAUUUGGGCUACACACGUGCUACAAUGGACAAUACAAAGGGCAGCGAAACCGCGAGGUCAAGCAAAUCCCAUAAAGUUGUUCUCAGUUCGGAUUGUAGUCUGCAACUCGACUACAUGAAGCUGGAAUCGCUAGUAAUCGUAGAUCAGCAUGCUACGGUGAAUACGUUCCCGGGUCU
This 1372-nucleotide ribosomal RNA is filed under the name uncultured bacterium. RNAcentral describes it as "bacterial SSU rRNA". It matches the Rfam family "Bacterial small subunit ribosomal RNA", at positions 28 to 1381 of the family's 1533-position model. The record is from RNAcentral.